Molecule: ribosomal RNA, 380 nt
Filed under: uncultured soil bacterium
Lineage: Bacteria
Description: bacterial SSU rRNA
Rfam family: Bacterial small subunit ribosomal RNA
Source: RNAcentral
AGGAUGAACGCUGGCGGCGUGCUUAACACAUGCAAGUCGAACGAGGUCCAUGGAGCUUGCUCCGGAAGACCUAGUGGCGAACGGGUGCGUAACACGUGAGAAACCUGCCCCGAUCUCUGGGAUAACAGUUGGAAACGACUGCUAAUACUGGAUGCCGUCACACCGCUUCAUGGCGGAGUGACGAAAGUAUUCAUCGGAUCGGGAGGGUCUCGCGGCCUAUCAGCUAGUUGGAGAGGUAACGGCUCACCAAGGCAUCGACGGGUAGCUGGUCUGAGAGGAUGAUCAGCCACGACUGGGACUGAGACACGGCCCAGACUCCGUACGGGAGGCAGCAGGUGGGAAUCGUGCACAGUGGACGAAGCUAGAGUGCAGCAACGCUG